RNAcentral lists this ribosomal RNA (425 nucleotides) under uncultured bacterium. RNAcentral describes it as "partial 16S ribosomal RNA". It matches the Rfam family "Bacterial small subunit ribosomal RNA", at positions 354 to 796 of the family's 1533-position model. The record is from RNAcentral.
GUGGGGAAUAUUGGACAAUGGGCGAAAGCCUGAUCCAGCCAUGCCGCGUGAGUGAUGAAGGCCUUAGGGUUGUAAAGCUCUUUCAGUAGGGAAGAUAAUGACGGUACCUACAGAAGAAGCCCCGGCUAACUUCGUGCCAGCAGCCGCGGUAAUACGAAGGGGGCUAGCGUUGUUCGGAUUUACUGGGCGUAAAGCGCACGUAGGCGGAUUGGUCAGUUAGAGGUGAAAUCCUGGAGCUCAACUCCAGAACUGCCUUUAAUACUGCCAGUCUAGAGUCCAGAAGAGGUGAGUGGAAGUCCUAGUGUAGAGGUGGAAUUCGUAGAUAUUAGGAAGAACACCAGUGGCGAAGGCGGCUCACUGGUCUGGUACUGACGCUGAGGUGCGAAAGCGUGGGGAGCAAACAGGAUUAGAUACCCCAGUAGUCC